AGAGAUGCACUGGGUGUAAAGCGUGCGCAGGCGGUUUUGUAAGACAGAGGUGAAAUCCCCGGGCUCAACCUGGGAACUGCCUUUGUGACUGCAAGGCUGGAGUGCGGCAGAGGGGGAUGGAAUUCCGCGUGUAGCAGUGAAAUGCGUAGAUAUGCGGAGGAACACCGAUGGCGAAGGCAAUCCCCCUGGGCCUGCACUGACGCUCAUGCACGAAAGCGUGGGGAGCAAACA
This 231-nucleotide ribosomal RNA is filed under the name uncultured Alicycliphilus sp. RNAcentral's name for it is "partial 16S ribosomal RNA". It matches the Rfam family "Bacterial small subunit ribosomal RNA", at positions 548 to 774 of the family's 1533-position model. The record is from RNAcentral. Lineage: Bacteria; Pseudomonadati; Pseudomonadota; Betaproteobacteria; Burkholderiales; Comamonadaceae.